This is a long non-coding RNA of Poecilia latipinna (sailfin molly), 117 nucleotides long. RefSeq lists it as uncharacterized. The record is from RefSeq and is a predicted model, not a curated record. Lineage: Eukaryota; Metazoa; Chordata; Actinopteri; Cyprinodontiformes; Poeciliidae. The transcript is spliced from 2 exons.
UCUACUACAGGGCCGGAGCAGAGUGGGAUCAUAUCAGGGUUCGUUUCCUGAGAAAGAGGGAGAGAGAUCAGAGCCCCUGCCGUGCUUUUGAUUAUGAAUUAAAAGGGAUUGCAAAUG